Molecule: ribosomal RNA, 253 nt
Filed under: uncultured bacterium
Lineage: Bacteria
Description: partial 16S ribosomal RNA
Rfam family: Bacterial small subunit ribosomal RNA
Source: RNAcentral
UACGAAGGGGGCUAGCGUUGCUCGGAAUCACUGGGCGUAAAGCGCACGUAGGCGGCUUUCUAAGUCAGGGGUGAAAUCCUGGAGCGCAACUCCAGAACUGCCUUUGAUACUGGAGAGCUUGAGUCCGGAAGAGGUGAGUGGAACUCCGAGUGUAGAGGUGAAAUUCGUAGAUAUUCGGAAGAACACCAGUGGCGAAGGCGGCUCACUGGCCCGGAACUGACGCUGAGACGCGAAAGCGUGGGGAGCAAACAGG